Molecule: ribosomal RNA, 252 nt
Filed under: uncultured bacterium
Lineage: Bacteria
Description: partial 16S ribosomal RNA
Rfam family: Bacterial small subunit ribosomal RNA
Source: RNAcentral
ACAGAGGGUGCAAGCGUUAAUCGGAUUUACUGGGCGUAAAGGGCGCGUAGGUGGUUGCUUAAGUGAGAUGUGAAAUCCCCGGGCUUAACCUGGGAACUGCAUCUUAUACUGUGCAACUGGAGUGCAAUAGAGGGUAGUGGAAUUUCCGGUGUAGCGGUGAAAUGCGUAGAUAUCGGAAGGAACACCAGUGGCGAAGGCGGCUACCUGGAUUGACACUGACACUGAGGCGCGAGAGCGUGGGGAGCAAACAGG